UCAAGCGAAUAAGUGCAUCUGGUGGAUGCCUUGGCGAUGAUAGGCGACGAAGGACGUGCAAGCCUGCGAAAAGCUACGGGGAGCUGGCAAUGAAGCUUUGAUCCGUAGAUGUCCGAAUGGGGAAACCCACUCAGCAAUGAGUACUCCCACCUGAACACAUAGGGUGGGUAGAGCGAACCGGGAGAACUGAAACAUCUAAGUACCCCGAGGAAAAGAAAUCAACCGAGAUUCCGUAAGUAGUGGCGAGCGAACACGGAUCAGCCUGCAUGUGAUAGCGGUAGUGUUAGGAGAAGAACCUGGAAAGGUUGGCCAUAGUGGGUGAUAGCCCCGUAUCCGAAAACACAACCGUGGUACUAAGCAUGCGACAAGUAAGGCGGGACACGUGAAAUCCUGUCCGAAGAUGGGGGGACCAUCCUCCAAGGCUAAAUACUCAUCAUCGACCGAUAGUGAACCAGUACCGUGAGGGAAAGGCGAAAAGAACCCCGGAAGGGGAGUGAAAUAGAUCCUGAAACCGGAUGCAUACAAACAGUGGGAGCGGACUUGUUCCGUGACUGCGUACCUUUUGUAUAAUGGGUCAGCGACUUACGUUCAGUAGCAAGCUUAACCGAAUAGGGGAGGCGUAGGGAAACCGAGUCCGAAUAGGGCGUUCAGUUGCUGGGCGUAGACCCGAAACCAAGUGAUCUAUCCAUGGCCAGGUUGAAGGUGCGGUAACACGCACUGGAGGACCGAACCCACUAAUGUUGCAAAAUUAGGGGAUGAGCUGUGGAUAGGGGUGAAAGGCUAAACAAACUUGGAAAUAGCUGGUUCUCUCCGAAAACUAUUUAGGUAGUGCCUCAAGUAUUACCGUCGGGGGUAGAGCACUGUUUAGGCUAGGGGGUCAUGGCGACUUACCAAACCUAUGCAAACUCCGAAUACCGACGAGUACAGCUUGGGAGACAGAGCACCGGGUGCUAACGUCCGGACUCAAGAGGGAAACAACCCAGACCGCCAGCUAAGGUCCCUAAAAUUGGCUAAGUGGGAAACGAAGUGGGAAGGCUAAAACAGUCAGGAUGUUGGCUUAGAAGCAGCCAUCAUUUAAAGAAAGCGUAAUAGCUCACUGAUCGAGUCGUCCUGCGCGGAAGAUGUAACGGGGCUAAGCCAGUUACCGAAGCUGCGGAUUUGCAAUUUAUUGCAAGUGGUAGGAGAGCGUUCUGUAAGCCUGUGAAGGUGCGUUGUAAAGCGUGCUGGAGGUAUCAGAAGUGCGAAUGCUGACAUGAGUAGCGUUAAAGGGGGUGAAAAGCCCCCUCGCCGUAAGCGCAAGGUUUUCUACGCAACGUUCAUCGGCGUAGAGUGAGUCGGCCCCUAAGGCGAGGCAGAGAUGCGUAGCUGAUGGGAAACAGGUCAAUAUUCCUGUACCGAUGUGUAGUGCGAUGUGGGGACGGAGAAGGUUAGCUCAGCCAACUGUUGGAUAUGUUGGUUCAAGCCUGUAGUCGUGCCUGGUAGGUAAAUCCGCCGGGCUUAGAUGAGGGGUGAUAACGAGGCUGCUUGCAGCCGAAGUGAGUGAUACCCUGCUUCCAGGAAAAGCCACUAAGCUUCAGCUACACACGACCGUACCGCAAACCGACACUGGUGCGCGAGAUGAGUAUUCUAAGGCGCUUGAGAGAACUCAGGAGAAGGAACUCGGCAAAUUGACACCGUAACUUCGGAAGAAGGUGUGCCUUUAGUAGGUGAAGGGAUUUACUCCUGGAGCCCAAUGAGGUUGCAAAAAAUCGGUGGCUGCGACUGUUUAUUAAAAACACAGCACUCUGCAAACACGAAAGUGGACGUAUAGGGUGUGACGCCUGCCCGGUGCUGGAAGAUUAAAUGAUGGGGUGCAAGCUCUUGAUUGAAGUCCCAGUAAACGGCGGCCGUAACUAUAACGGUCCUAAGGUAGCGAAAUUCCUUGUCGGGUAAGUUCCGACCUGCACGA
Molecule: ribosomal RNA, 1948 nt
Filed under: wastewater metagenome
Description: bacterial LSU rRNA
Rfam family: Bacterial large subunit ribosomal RNA
Source: RNAcentral